RNAcentral lists this ribosomal RNA (216 nucleotides) under Glomeromycotina sp. RNAcentral's name for it is "partial small subunit ribosomal RNA". The stretch from base 40 to 216 matches the Rfam family "Eukaryotic small subunit ribosomal RNA", at positions 686 to 864 of the family's 1831-position model. Lineage: Eukaryota; Fungi; Glomeromycota. The record is from RNAcentral.
GGGUCAGUAGGUUGGUCGUGCCACCGGUACGUACUGGUCUCACUGAUUCCUCCUUCCUGAAGGACCGUAAUGCCAUUAAUUUGGUGUUGCGGGGAAACAGGACUGUUACUUUGAAAAAAUUAGAGUGUUUAAAGCAAGCUAACGCUUGAAUACAUUAGCAUGGAAUAAUGAAAUAGGACGAUCGAUCCUAUUUUGUUGGCUUCUAGGAUUGACGUA